This 470-nucleotide ribosomal RNA is filed under the name Escherichia coli. RNAcentral's name for it is "bacterial SSU rRNA". It matches the Rfam family "Bacterial small subunit ribosomal RNA", at positions 1056 to 1526 of the family's 1533-position model. The record is from RNAcentral. RNAcentral also lists the same sequence under 1 other name. Lineage: Bacteria; Pseudomonadati; Pseudomonadota; Gammaproteobacteria; Enterobacterales; Enterobacteriaceae.
CAGCUCGUGUUGUGAAAUGUUGGGUUAAGUCCCGCAACGAGCGCAACCCUUAUCCUUUGUUGCCAGCGGUCCGGCCGGGAACUCAAAGGAGACUGCCAGUGAUAAACUGGAGGAAGGUGGGGAUGACGUCAAGUCAUCAUGGCCCUUACGACCAGGGCUACACACGUGCUACAAUGGCGCAUACAAAGAGAAGCGACCUCGCGAGAGCAAGCGGACCUCAUAAAGUGCGUCGUAGUCCGGAUUGGAGUCUGCAACUCGACUCCAUGAAGUCGGAAUCGCUAGUAAUCGUGGAUCAGAAUGCCACGGUGAAUACGUUCCCGGGCCUUGUACACACCGCCCGUCACACCAUGGGAGUGGGUUGCAAAAGAAGUAGGUAGCUUAACCUUCGGGAGGGCGCUUACCACUUUGUGAUUCAUGACUGGGGUGAAGUCGUAACAAGGUAACCGUAGGGGAACCUGCGGUUGGAUCAC